UUUUCCUACGGGACGCAGCAGUGGGGAAUAUUGCACAAUGGGGGGAACCCUGAUGCAGCGACGCCGCGUGAAGGAAGAAGUAUUUCGGUAUGUAAACUUCUAUCAGCAGGGAAGAAAAAGGACGGUACCUGACUAAGAAGCCCCGGCUAACUACGUGCCAGCAGCCGCGGUAAUACGUAGGGGGCGAGCGUUAUCCGGAUUUAUUGGGUUUAAAGGGUGCGUAGGCGGAAUGCCAAGUCAGCGGUAAAAUCGCGGGGCUCAACCUCGCUCCGCCGUUGAAACUGGCGUUCUUGAGUGGGCGAGAA
Molecule: ribosomal RNA, 305 nt
Filed under: uncultured bacterium
Lineage: Bacteria
Description: bacterial SSU rRNA
Rfam family: Bacterial small subunit ribosomal RNA
Source: RNAcentral